UUAUUUUCCAAUUGAGUAUUUAGCGCGAAAAAAGAACCUAUUUAUAUCACCCAGUGAAGCCUCAAGUCAAGGAAUUGCCGGAGAUAACUCAGAAUUAGGAAUCUCCAACUCAAACACAACACUUCUCUCUAUCACUCCACUCCUUCUUGCGAUCGGUAAUCACACUUCCUCUACUGCUUUGCACACUUUGAUUUCGAUAUGGCUGGACAAAGUCGACGGAAUCCUCGAAGCCGAAUUAAAUCAGCUUCCGCCGUCGACGACGAUGACGACAGCGCCGUCCGUCAAGCUUCUGAUAAUUAUAGACGCCUCCGUGAUAGGAAUAAAUCGAGUUCUUCGAUUCGCAUCUUCAAUGUUAAUCUCAAGGUCAUGGUAGGUAUUUGCUUCGUCGCAUUCUUCGUCAUCUUGUAUCUGAUCAGUAGCCUGAUCGUAACCGGAGAUCAUCAGACUCCUAGGGUUAUUACGCCAUUUCCUGCUCCAAAAGUUACCGACCUUCCUCAGUUUCAAGGUGAACAUAAAGAGAGCUUGUAUUGGGGAACUUAUCGACCUCAUGUCUAUCUUGGAAUACGAGCUAGGACUCCACGUUCAUUGCUUGCUGGCUUGAUGUGGAUAGGUGUUCAGAAUGGAAGAUAUGUCAUGAGGCAUGUGUGCCAAAGUUCCGAUGAACUAAGCACAUAUGGUUGGACUCGUCACAAUGCACGUGAUUUUGGACAUCAAGUUCUUGUUGACCAGGAUAUGACUCUGGGAACAAGCUUUCUGAAAUCGAAGGAGAGUGGUAGUGGCUAUGGUGGAGAUUGGGCUGUUCGCAUUCAAGUUAAUAGCAAGAAAUCUGAGGAGACUGAGGAAUUGUUGAAAACUGGGCAUCUUUUUUUCUACUUGGCAGAUGAAGAUGGAAAUGCUUUAAGUUUAAGUAGAGAUGCCAUGAACAUUCAUGAGACUUCACUCCUAGCAUCAGGUUCACGAAGUGAUGUAGGAAAUUGGCAGUUACAUUUAGAAUCUAAGGAUGAUCUCGAAGUCCAUUUUAGUGGGUUUAAGACGGAGCAUUAUCACAAUUUAUCUGAACUUGUUCAGGAAAAUAUUGGUGGACAAGCAAGAAAAUUUGGUCGAUUGCAGCUCUCUGACACAUCUGAUGACUCCUCAAAUAUUUUAGUUUUCCAGAUCUCUGGCAGAAUUCCAUUUAGAACAGAUUUGGCUUUCAUUUCUGGCUCUGGUUUACCAAGUUCUAGAGAAGAGGAACGUGUCAACAACCUCACAGGUUCAUCAUUAACUGAUCGAUUAAAGGAGAAAGAAUUAGAAUUUGAUACCAGAUUUGAGGAGUGCUUUGGUUUGGCAAACAAGUUUGAUUUAGAAUCCACAACUGUUGGUAAGGCUGCUGUUUCAAACUUAUUAGGUGGCAUUGGUUAUUUCUAUGGCCAGUCAAAAAUUGCACUCCCAGGUGCCUCCCAUCUCGGAAGUCAUAAUGGUUUCCUUUUUUACUGGCCUGCUGAGCUUUACACUGCUGUUCCAUGCCGUCCUGUCUUCCCUAGGGGAUUCUUGUGGGAUGAAGGCUUUCAUCAGCUGCUUAUCUGGCGAUGGGAUAUUCACAUCAGCUUAGAUAUUCUUGGUCACUGGUUGGAUUUAAUGAACAUCGAUGGAUGGAUUCCACGUGAACAAAUAUUAGGGGCUGAAGCUCUCAGCAAGGUCCCAGAAGAAUUUAUUCCUCAGUAUCCAAGCAAUGCUAACCCGCCAGCAUUCUUUCUAGUCUUGCGAGAAUUGAUUCAUGGCCUAAAGAAAAAUGCAUUUACCGAGACAGAAAGCUCAGAGAUAUCUUCAUUCUUCGAACGGUCUUUUGUCCGCUUGGAAGCAUGGUUCCAGUGGUUUAAUACUACACAGCCAGGGAAGGAGGCAAGCAGCUAUUACUGGCAUGGAAGAGACAGCUCUACAAUUCGUGAACUAAACCCUAAGACACUAAUGUCUGGAUUGGAUGAUUAUCCACGUGCUUCACACCCCACUGAAGAUGAGCGUCAUGUGGACCUCCGAUGCUGGAUGCUUCUCGCUGCAGAUUGCAUGCAUUCUAUUUCAGAGCUAACCGCAAAGGAAAAGGGACUUGAAACGGUUUAUAGUUCAGCAACAAAAAUUCUCUCUGAAUUUGAGCUUCUGAAUCAGAUGCACUUUGAUGAUGCCCAUGGAACUUACUUAGAUUUUGGAAAUCACACUGAAAAGGUACGUUUAAUUUGGAAAGAGGUGAUGGGAGAGCAAGGAUUUACAACUCGUCAACUUAUCCGGGAAGUGUCGGAAACGCCAAGGCUAAGAAUGGUUCCUCAUAUCGGUUAUGUCAGUCUUUUUCCACUCAUGGGGAGAAUCAUUCCACCUGAAUCUUGGAUUCUUGAAAAACAGCUUGAUCUUAUUUCAAAUCGAAGCAUAUUCUGGACAGAUUAUGGGCUCCGCUCCCUAUCUAAAACAAGCUCAUUAUACAUGAAGCACAACACAGAGCAUGAUGCACCUUAUUGGAGAGGUACAAUUUGGAUGAACAUGAAUUACUUGAUUCUUUCAGCACUCAAUCACUACGCCACAGAGCAUGGACCGUAUAGAGAAAAAGCUAAAGAUAUUCGUGAUGAGUUGAGAAGCAAUAUAAUUAGAAAUGUGGUUAGAAAUUAUCAGAAGACAGGAUACAUUUGGGAGCAGUAUAAUCAAAAGACGGGUAAAGGGAAAGGCGCUCACCCAUUUACCGGUUGGACAUCUCUACUACUCUUAAUCAUGGCUGAAGCUUAUACAGAAAGUUAGCAGAAGCUUCUUUGGAAACAUUUUUUAUGACUGUGGAACUACAGGAGAGAGUGCCUGCAAGGAAAGAGUGGACUUUAUCUCGCAAAACUAGAAGUGAUAAAGCAGGCUCCAAGCAAAAAUAUGUUCGCACCUCCUGCAUAUCGGCAAGACUCUGCUCGUGUAUUUUUGCAGAUCCUUGAAAAUAGAUGGAAUUACCAGGACCGGAGCCGUUUGCUUGCCCACGAGUAACUGUCAGCAAAUUUUGUACCCUCCUUGAAAGUUCUGCCCCAGAGCCUUUCAACUGAAAAGUGUCUUGAGAAUAUCAUUAUGAUGCAACUUUUGGAGACAAGUAACAUAUUUCUCCCUAGUUAUAAGUUAUAGUUUAUGAUUUCCUAUGGAUCAUUAAAAGAAAACUAAGGAUAAUAACAAUCAAGCGAUGUGCUUGGAAAAGAAAAAUAAGCCUUCAUUAGUCAUUACUAUCACUUAAGUUUCUCUUCUUCCUAUCAUUCAAAUUUUUGAAUCAAGUUACUUAUAUUUUGAAAUGGUGUAUAUGUUCAACAGUUGGGAUAAAGUGAAAUUUAGUUGAACUAAAUGAAAAAGACCUAGGAAUUCCCUCUA
Cucumis sativus (cucumber) is the source of this 3357-nucleotide RNA transcript. It is a transcript of the gene named mannosyl-oligosaccharide glucosidase GCS1, with no coding region annotated. The transcript has 24 exons. Lineage: Eukaryota; Viridiplantae; Streptophyta; Magnoliopsida; Cucurbitales; Cucurbitaceae. The record is from RefSeq and is a predicted model, not a curated record.